CAGUUUGAUUAUGGUUCAUGAUGAACGCUGGCGGCGUGCCUAACCCAUGAAGUCUAACGAUCCCGCUGGGGAGAUUGGCGGAAGGGUGAGUAACACGUCAAUUCUUCCUCGCCGGAAGGAACAACCCUUCUAAAGAGGGGCUAAUACCAAAAGGAUCCGCAUGGAUCACAGUCCCCAAGGGCCUGCCUAGAGGAGUUGCGGCCCAUCUCCUAAUUGGUGGGGUAAUGGCCUACCAAGGCUACAACGGUAGGGGGUCUGAGAGGAUGAUCCCCCACACUGGAACUGAAUCCCCGUCAUAAGCCUACGGGUGGCACCCUGGAGGAAUAUUGCACAAUGGGGGAAACCCCAUCCAGCAACUCCGCAUGAGGGAUGAAGGCCUUCUGGUUGUAAACUCUUUUCACGGAGACGAGCAAGGACUGUAUCCCUGGAAUAAGCCACGGUAAUUACCUGCCUGCUCCCCCCCUGAUACAUGGGUGGACGAUCGUUAUCAGAUUUACUGGCCGUAAAGCGUUCUGUUGCGGCCUUGCACGUUGGGCGUGAUUCUCCGGGGUUAACCCCGAGAGGACUUUCGAUACGUGCCUGGCUAUAGAUGUCAUAGAAAUGUGGAAUUCCUGGUGUACUGGUGAAAUGCUUAGAUUCCGGAGGAACACC
This 651-nucleotide ribosomal RNA is filed under the name uncultured Chloroflexales bacterium. RNAcentral's name for it is "bacterial SSU rRNA". It matches the Rfam family "Bacterial small subunit ribosomal RNA", at positions 9 to 710 of the family's 1533-position model. The record is from RNAcentral. Lineage: Bacteria; Bacillati; Chloroflexota; Chloroflexia; Chloroflexales.